Molecule: unclassified non-coding RNA, 267 nt
Filed under: Miconia ulei
Lineage: Eukaryota; Viridiplantae; Streptophyta; Magnoliopsida; Myrtales; Melastomataceae
Description: Leandra ulaei partial external transcribed spacer
Source: RNAcentral
CCUCGGUGGCUUCUCCUAUGGAGGUGUCGGCGGCGCUUUCGGUGUAUCUCGUCUAGCGAUGGGACGACGCAUGAGUGGUGAUUAGGAUAUGUUUCCCYAGCAGGCUCCAUGCAUCCGGCAUCGAACUGCUUGGGUCUAUCUAUUUCAUUAGUGGGUUUGCCUCGRCGUUUCCAUGGUCGGUCGCCACUACUUGUCGGGUUCCUGUGCUUGGUACUGAAUUUUGUAGCUGGAUGGAUUGCUCUUCCCCGUCGUGGUUUUUUUAUCCCC